ACGCUGGCGGCGUGCCUAACACAUGCAAGUCGAACGGAACUGUUUUGAAAGAUUUCUUCGGAAUGAAUUUGAUUUAGUUUAGUGGCGGACGGGUGAGUAACGCGUGAGUAACCUGCCUUCAAGAGGGGGAUAACAUUCUGAAAAGAAUGCUAAUACCGCAUGACAUAUCGGAACCACAUGGUUCUGAUAUCAAAGAUUUUAUCGCUUGAAGAUGGACUCGCGUCCGAUUAGUUAGUUGGUGAGGUAACGGCUCACCAAGACCGCGAUCGGUAGCCGGACUGAGAGGUUGAACGGCCACAUUGGGACUGAGACACGGCCCAGACUCCUACGGGAGGCAGCAGUGGGGGAUAUUGCGCAAUGGGGGCAACCCUGACGCAGCAACGCCGCGUGAAGGAUGAAGGUUUUCGGAUUGUAAACUUCUUUUAUUAAGGACGAAAAAUGACGGUACUUAAUGAAUAAGCUCCGGCUAACUACGUGCCAGCAGCCGCGGUAAUACGUAGGGAGCAAGCGUUGUCCGGAUUUACUGGGUGUAAAGGGUGCGUAGGCGGCUUUGCAAGUCAGAUGUGAAAUCUAUGGGCUCAACCCAUAAACUGCAUUUGAAACUGUAGAGCUUGAGUGAAGUAGAGGCAGGCGGAAUUCCCCGUGUAGCGGUGAAAUGCGUAGAGAUGGGGAGGAACACCAGUGGCGAAGGCGGCCUGCUGGGCUUUAACUGACGCUGAGGCACGAAAGCGUGGGUAGCAAACAGGAUUAGAUACCCUGGUAGUCCACGCUGUAAACGAUGAUUACUAGGUGUGGGGGGUCUGACCCCUUCCGUGCCGGAGUUAACACAAUAAGUAAUCCACCUGGGGAGUACGGCCGCAAGGUUGAAACUCAAAGGAA
RNAcentral lists this ribosomal RNA (879 nucleotides) under human gut metagenome. RNAcentral's name for it is "bacterial SSU rRNA". It matches the Rfam family "Bacterial small subunit ribosomal RNA", at positions 33 to 909 of the family's 1533-position model. The record is from RNAcentral.